Molecule: ribosomal RNA, 940 nt
Filed under: Aspergillus sp.
Lineage: Eukaryota; Fungi; Ascomycota; Eurotiomycetes; Eurotiales; Aspergillaceae
Description: partial large subunit ribosomal RNA
Rfam family: Eukaryotic large subunit ribosomal RNA
Source: RNAcentral
ACCCGCUGAACUUAAGCAUAUCAAUAAGCGGAGGAAAAGAAACCAACAGGGAUUGCCUCAGUAACGGCGAGUGAAGCGGCAAGAGCUCAAAUUUGAAAGCUGGCCCCUUCGGGGUCCGCGUUGUAAUUUGCAGAGGAUGCUUCGGGUGCAGCCCCCGUCUAAGUGCCCUGGAACGGGCCGUCAUAGAGGGUGAGAAUCCCGUCUGGGACGGGGUGUCUGCGUCCGUGUGAAGCUCCUUCGACGAGUCGAGUUGUUUGGGAAUGCAGCUCUAAAUGGGUGGUAAAUUUCAUCUAAAGCUAAAUACUGGCCGGAGACCGAUAGCGCACAAGUAGAGUGAUCGAAAGAUGAAAAGCACUUUGAAAAGAGAGUUAAACAGCACGUGAAAUUGUUGAAAGGGAAGCGUUUGCGACCAGACUCGCCCGCGGGGUUCAGCCGGCAUUCGUGCCGGUGUACUUCCCCGUGGGCGGGCCAGCGUCGGUUUGGGCGGCCGGUCAAAGGCCCUCGGAAUGUAUCACCUCUCGGGGUGUCUUAUAGCCGAGGGUGCAAUGCGGCCUGCCUGGACCGAGGAACGCGCUUCGGCUCGGACGCUGGCGUAAUGGUCGUAAAUGACCCGUCUUGAAACACGGACCAAGGAGUCUAACAUCUACGCGAGUGUUCGGGUGUCAAACCCGUACGCGCAGUGAAAGCGAACGGAGGUGGGAGCCCCCUCGCGGGGCGCACCAUCGACCGAUCCUGAUGUCUUCGGAUGGAUUUGAGUACGAGCGUAGCUGUGGGGACCCGAAAGAUGGUGAACUAUGCCUGAAUAGGGCGAAGCCAGAGGAAACUCUGGUGGAGGCUCGCAGCGGUUCUGACGUGCAAAUCGAUCGUCAAAUUUGGGUAUAGGGGCGAAAGACUAAUCGAACCAUCUAGUAGCUGGUUCCUGCCGAAGUUUCCCUCAGGA